Molecule: ribosomal RNA, 386 nt
Filed under: uncultured bacterium
Lineage: Bacteria
Description: bacterial SSU rRNA
Rfam family: Bacterial small subunit ribosomal RNA
Source: RNAcentral
AUUGAACGCUGGCGGCAGGCCUAACACAUGCAAGUCGAGCGGUAGAGAGGUGCUUGCAUCUCUUGAGAGCGGCGGACGGGUGAGUAAUGCCUAGGAAUCUGCCUAGUGGUGGGGGAUAACGUUCGGAAACGGACGCUAAUACCGCAUACGUCCUACGGGAGAAAGCAGGGGACCUUCGGGCCUUGCGUUAUCAGAUGAGCCUAGGUCGGAUUAGCUAGUAGGUGAGGUAAUGGCUCACCUAGGCGACGAUCCGUAACUGGUCUGAGAGGAUGAUCAGUCACACUGGAACUGAGACACGGUCCAGACUCCUACGGGAGGCAGCAGUGGGGAAUAUUGGACAAUGGGCGAAAGCCUGAUCCAGCAAUGCCGCGUGAGUGAUGAAGGCC